UGUGUCUGAAACUUGAGAAAGCAAGA
RNAcentral lists this non-coding RNA (26 nucleotides) under Homo sapiens (human). The record is from RNAcentral. Lineage: Eukaryota; Metazoa; Chordata; Mammalia; Primates; Hominidae.